UACGAAGGGGGCUAGCGUUGUUCGGAAUUACUGGGCGUAAAGCGCGCGUAGGCGGUGAUCUUUGUCAGAGGUGAAAUCCCGAGGCUCAACUUCGGAAUUGCCUUUGAAACGGGAUUGCUUGAGUCCGAGAGAGGAUGGCGGAAUUCCUAGUGUAGAGGUGAAAUUCGUAGAUAUUAGGAAGAACACCGGUGGCGAAGGCGAGUCUCUGGACAUUUCCUGACGCUGAGGCACGAAAGCCAGGGGAGCAAACGGG
RNAcentral lists this ribosomal RNA (253 nucleotides) under uncultured bacterium. RNAcentral describes it as "partial 16S ribosomal RNA". It matches the Rfam family "Bacterial small subunit ribosomal RNA", at positions 524 to 776 of the family's 1533-position model. The record is from RNAcentral.